UGAACAAUUAGUAACUUAUACUAAAGUUUAGUCGCUAUUGACUAAAUUAUCCCUCUUCUCCCUCUAGAGGUUCCAAACCUCCCCCUGCAGUUCAAUUUAUUUUCACCUUGAGUAAUGCUAUUCAGCCUGGCUGGAGAAUCUAUGUGGCGUUAGGGAAUAAGCGAAAUGAAAAUUUGAAUUAAUUGUACUUAUCGUCUACUUACUCUUUCUCUUUCAGCUUUCCCCGUUCAAGCAACCAUUCAAUCAUUCAACAAUCGUUCAAUUACCUACCAAAAUUUUAUCGCACGGUGCUACUCUCUUCCGUCAUAAUCCGAGGCAUUCCGGAGUUAGGGUGAUGCUUGCAGAGGUCAUAACUAUAGUGGUUGAAGAAAAUGGGUCAAUUAUAUGAUUUCUAUGGGGCGCAAAGACCUAUUGUCUAUUGAAAGUCUGAUGGCCAGCCUCUGUUUUAUCUUUUGGUUGCAAUGUUCAUUCUGUAAAUGCACUAUCUAAACGUCGUUCAAGGACCCAGCUUGUAGCAGUCAGGUGUGGGUGUUUAAAGGUUUGGAAAAGGAAGAACAUAGCUUAUAUUAUCGUCCAUUGCCUCCAAUGGAUGACAGCGUAACAGAGGCUGCAAUGGAUCCUAUGGCUUCUGAUGUGAGAGAGAUCCUUGAACUCUCUCAAUGAGAAGGUAAAGCUAACGUGAAGAUUUUGUGUUGUUCAACAGGUUUCAGCAAAUCAUUGCUUAUCCAAUUAAUUGAGGUCGAAUGGCUUAAACAUUAUUUCUCAACAGUGAUGGCCAUGAAUUAUUCCCCCUUAAUGUCAUGCAUAUAUCAUCAUCAUCUCAGUUUUCCCCCAUCUGAGAUAAGAUGUAUAUAUUUUUGUGCGAAAUUGUGAAGUACUCCAUUGUUCCUGUGUAAAAGUUGCAAAAGUACGAAAUUUCUGGUACAAACUGAUUUA
Molecule: long non-coding RNA, 936 nt
Organism: Olea europaea var. sylvestris
Lineage: Eukaryota; Viridiplantae; Streptophyta; Magnoliopsida; Lamiales; Oleaceae
Exons: 2
Source: RefSeq, a predicted model, not a curated record